Small nucleolar RNA from Hemicordylus capensis (graceful crag lizard), 138 nucleotides. RefSeq annotates it as small nucleolar RNA SNORA15. Lineage: Eukaryota; Metazoa; Chordata; Lepidosauria; Squamata; Cordylidae. The transcript has a single exon. The record is from RefSeq and is a predicted model, not a curated record.
GCAUGGCCGAAUUCUGCAUUGCCUUUGACCGUGGCUAAUGGAGUCAGACACCAUGCGAAAGUAAAGCUUCCGUCUUUGGCGUCCCUAAUGGCAUGCUGCGUGUAAGGCAGUGAGCCUGUGUCGGAGAUGGAUACACAA